RNAcentral lists this ribosomal RNA (403 nucleotides) under bacterium. RNAcentral describes it as "partial 16S ribosomal RNA". It matches the Rfam family "Bacterial small subunit ribosomal RNA", at positions 355 to 776 of the family's 1533-position model. The record is from RNAcentral.
UGGGGAAUAUUGCACAAUGGAGGGAACUCUGAUGCAGCGACGCCGCGUGAACGAAGAAGGCUUUCGAGUCGUAAAGUUCUUUUAUAUGGGAAGAUAAUGACGGUACCAUAAGAAAAAGCCCCGGCUAAUUACGUGCCAGCAGCCGCGGUAAUACGUAGGGGGCUAGCGUUGUCCGGAAUCACUGGGCGUAAAGGGUUCGUAGGCGGAAAUGCAAGUCAGGUGUAAAAGGCAGUAGCUUAACUACUGUAAGCAUUUGAAACUGCAUAUCAUGAGAAAGGUAGAGGUAAGUGGAAUUUUUAGUGUAGCGGUGAAAUGCGUAGAUAUUAAAAAGAAUACCGGUGGCGAAGGCGGCUUACUGGGCUCAUUCUGACGCUGAGGAACGAAAGCGUGGGUAGCAAACAGG